UCAGGCCUAACACAUGCAAGUCGAGCGGGGUUUUCGGACCUAGCGGCGGACGGGUGAGUAAUGCGUAGGAAGCUACCCGACAGAGGGGGAUACCAGUUGGAAACGACUGUUAAUACCGCAUAAUGUCUACGGACCAAAGUGUGGGACCUUCGGGCCACAUGCUGUCGGAUGCGCCUACGUGGGAUUAGCUAGUUGGUGAGGUAAUGGCUCACCAAGGCGACGAUCCCUAGCUGGUUUGAGAGGAUGAUCAGCCACACUGGAACUGAGACACGGUCCAGACUCCUACGGGAGGCAGCAGUGGGGAAUAUUGGACAAUGGGCGCAAGCCUGAUCCAAAGAGGCCGCGUGUGUGAAGAAGGCCUUCGGGUGUAAAUAAAGGUCAGCGAGGAGGAAGGGUUGUG
This 400-nucleotide ribosomal RNA is filed under the name uncultured bacterium. Its description in RNAcentral is "bacterial SSU rRNA". It matches the Rfam family "Bacterial small subunit ribosomal RNA", at positions 43 to 457 of the family's 1533-position model. The record is from RNAcentral.